Molecule: ribosomal RNA, 425 nt
Filed under: uncultured bacterium
Lineage: Bacteria
Description: bacterial SSU rRNA
Rfam family: Bacterial small subunit ribosomal RNA
Source: RNAcentral
GAAUCUUGGACAAUGGGGGCAACCCUGAUCCAGCGAUGCCGCGUGAGUGAAGAAGGCUUUCGGGUCGUAAAGCUCUUUAGGUUGGGAAGAAGGUUAGUCGUUUAAGAGAUAGCUAACUUGACGGUACCAACAGAAUAAGCCCCGGCAAAACCUGUGCCCGCAGCCGCGGUAAUACAGAGGGUGCGAGCGUUAAUCGGAUUUACUGGGCGUAAAGGGCGCGUAGGUGGUUAAAUGAGUGUGAUGUGAAAGCCCCGGGCUUAACCUGGGAAGUGCAUCGCAAACGAUUUGACUGGAGUAGAUGAGAGGGUGAUGGAAUUUCCGGUGUAGCGGUGAAAUGCGUAGAUAUCGGAAGGAACGUCAAUGGCGAAGGCAGUCACCUGGCAUCAUACUGACACUGAGGCGCGAAAGCGUGGGUAGCGAACAGG